AAGUCGAACGAGGUGGCCCACAGAAUUUGAUAGAAACUUUGAGAGCUUGCUCGAGAAGUGGAAAGAGAAGGACGUGGAAUUUCCACCUAGUGGCAAACGGGUGAGUAACACGUGGGUUACCUACCUCUUAGAUGGGGAUACCAAUUGGAAACGAUUGUUAAUACCGAAUGUGAUCUACGGAUUAAAGGAAGCCUUUAAAGCUUCGCUAAGAGAUGGGCCUGCGGUGCAUUAGAUAGUUGGUGGGGUAAGAGCCUACCAAGUCAACGAUGCAUAGCUGAACUGAGAGGUUGAUCGGCCACACUGGGACUGAGACACGGCCCAGACUCCUACGGGAGACAGCAGUUAGGAAUAUUCGUCAAUGGGGGAAACCCUGAACGAGCAAUGCCGCGUGAACGAUGACGGUCCUCUGGAUUGUAAAGUUCUGUUGUUUGGGAAGAACGGCUCUAAUAGGAAAUGAUUAGAGAUUGACUGUACCAUUCAAGAAAGCCACGGCUAACUACGUGCCAGCAGCCGCGGUAAUACGUAGGUGGCGAGCGUUAUCCGGAUUUAUUGGGCGUAAAGCGUCCGCAGCCGGUUUAUUAAGUAUAGAAUAAAACUUCGGGGCUCAACCCCGUCUCGUUCUAUAAACUGAUAGACUAGAGUGUGGUAGAGGCAAGUGGAAUUUCUAGUGUAGCGGUAGAAUGCGUAGAUAUUAGAAGGAACACCAGUGGCGAAGGCGACUUGCUGGGCCAUCACUGACGGUCAGGGACGAAAGCGUGGGGAGCGAAUAGGAUUAGAUACCCUAGUAGUCCACGCCGUAAACGAUGAGCACUAAGUGUCGGGCAACCGGUGCUGAAGUUAACACAUUAAGUGCU
This 854-nucleotide ribosomal RNA is filed under the name uncultured bacterium. RNAcentral's name for it is "bacterial SSU rRNA". It matches the Rfam family "Bacterial small subunit ribosomal RNA", at positions 59 to 868 of the family's 1533-position model. The record is from RNAcentral.